GGCCUUAGUCUGCUAUUACAAUUGUGUCAGAAUGGUUGAUCAUUGAGCAGUGAUCGACCAUUCUGACACAAUUGUAAUAGAAGACUAAGGCC
This 92-nucleotide microRNA precursor is filed under the name Spodoptera frugiperda (fall armyworm). RNAcentral describes it as "microRNA sfr-mir-10454a precursor (sfr-mir-10454a-1)". The record is from miRBase by way of RNAcentral. Lineage: Eukaryota; Metazoa; Arthropoda; Insecta; Lepidoptera; Noctuidae.